RNAcentral lists this long non-coding RNA (1113 nucleotides) under Felis catus (domestic cat). RNAcentral describes it as "lncRNA (ENSFCAG00000044657.2)". Lineage: Eukaryota; Metazoa; Chordata; Mammalia; Carnivora; Felidae. The record is from RNAcentral.
AUUUUUCCUUAUUGACUUUCUCCAAAUAAACCCCUGGCCAGCAGAAAGGGGCUCCCGGCAGCAGCUGCUUACCCAGUGUUUGUGAUAAAGAGGCUUCUCCAUAGCAACAGGUGGCAAUGUGCAGCUCUCCGAGAACAUGGCGGGCCUCGCCACAGGGCUGUGUUUACUCAGAGGGGAAGGCAUAGAGGCAGAGGGAGGGAGGAAGGAAGGAAGGGAGGAAGGGCAGGAGGGAGGGAGGGAAGGGGAGACCAGGAAGGAAGCCUCAGCGGGAGUUUGGAGGGCUCUGUCCUCUGGGAGGCUUCUUCCAGAGAGUUCCUGGUGGGUCCAGGGGUAGGGAUAGGCCGGCACGUGGGCAUGUGACUUGCAUGGAACUGCUCGCCUGCUGGGUGCGGGGCCACUGUGAACAGGAGGACCUUGCAUAGGAGCCGUGCGACGCGGGCUUGUGUGGCCUAGUCAAAGUGGCCUGCUCCCUGGAGAACAGAGGCCAGGCAUUAGCCCCCACCCCAACUGUUUCCCCGGGCACUUGGAGGAGAGUCUUCAUCCCGAGCAAAGGAGGAAGCGGAGUCAGGAACUGUACUCGUACAGCAACGUAGCCGGAAUGGUGGGUUAGAAUUGAUUUCUGAGCAAGUCAGCCAAAGGGGACCCAGGAAUUCGUUUGGCACCACAUCGGACAGGGGACAUCCAGCCUGUGCUGUGACAUUUGUAGCGAUGGGAGGCUCAGUGCCUCGCAAGCUUGCCCACUCUGCUGUAAGAUAAUCCGGAACCACUGGAAAUGUCUUCCUGCUUUGGGACCGCAACUGGGACUCUUGGUUUGGGGGAUGCCUCCAGCAGCACCUCCCGCCCUACCUUUCUCUUGCCAAGCUCCAGAACUCUCCUGCAUUCCCAAUCACUCAGUGCUUCAUGGAUUCGGUCCUUCUCUGUGCCCAUCAUUCAUCCAGACGGAACCCCCAGCCGUUUGAUGGUCUGCCCUCCAUUCAUUCCCAUCACUCAUUCAUGGAGUCCUGGAAUGUCAGAGCUAGAAGGGGGCCUCAGAAGCGAUCUGGUCCAGUGGUUUGAAAAUGAGAACACAUUUUUCAAAGAGAAGCAUCUGUGGACGCUCUAUAGAGAAAAUAG